CCAAGUCACAGAGCUCAUAAGUGAAGAAGUCAGGAUUUUCUUUUUUUGUCCCACUGUGGUUUCUUUUCUUUUUUUUUUCCCAGAGUGUGAAAGUGAAAGUGUUAGUUGCUCAGUCGUGUCUAACUUUUUGCGACCCCAUGGACUAUACCUCUGUCCGUGGGAUUCUCCAGGCAAUAAUACUGGAGUGGGUUGCCAUUCCCUUCUCCAGGGGAUCUUCCCCACCCAGGGAUUGAAUCCCUGGUAUCCUGCAUUGCAGGCAGAUUCUUUACCAUCAGAGCCACAUGGGCCUCUUAUUGGAGUAUAGGUGAUUUAAAAUGCUGCAUUUGUUCCACAGUUGAACUGUGGUGAUGGCUGCUGCUACUGCUGCUAAGUCGCUUCAGUCGUGUCCGACUCUGUGCGACCCCAUAGACGGCAGCCCACCAGGCUCCUCCGUCCCUGGGAUUCUCCAGGCAAGAACACUGGAAUGGUGAUGGCUACCUUUAGUCAAAAUUCAUAGAAACAGACAAAAGAGAGAGUCCAGAGUGACGUGAACUCCACGUGGAUUUGCUCAGAGGUGACCAGGUCUGGCUCCUCCUGCGAAGCCCAGACCCCGGGCUCUGGAACAGACAGGAGGCGCUCUGGCCAGCUCUGGUUUCCCAGCAAGCACUCACUUAGUGCUGAAGGCUCGAGCUGCUGUAACAAGAAUUCCACAGGCUGGGAGGCUCACAGAAGAGAUGUUUAAGAAGGCUGGGAACCCAAGGUCAAGGUGCUGUCCUCGAGGCUUGCAGACCUCCGCCCCCCUGCUGUGUGCUCACGUGGCAGAAGCAGACCGAGGUCACUUCCUGGUGUCUCUUCUUUUAAAGGCACAAACCCCACUCACAGGGGCCCCACCCUCCUGAGCUUAUUCCCUCUGAAGGCCCCAAGUUGCACUGGGGGUUGGGGCAUUAACAUAUGGACUUGGGGAACACAGGCUUUCAGUCCACAGCAGAACGCCGGCACCACAUGCACACGAGUCAAAAACUAAGAUGAAAUAGUAUAUCCCCAACUCCUCAUCAACAGCCAGCGACAAGGAAAGUGCAUCCGCAAGUUUGCUUCGGAUGCUGUCAAAUCAGAAUGCUUUCCAAUGGUGCCUGAGAUGUGAAGAGUAUCAGCCAUCUUUGGCUGAAUAUAUUUGUGUAUGCGUCUUAAACUUGAUUCCUGACCAACUAACAAUAAUUAACCCUCUUACCUUUUAGCUUCUGUAUUUUGAUUCUUUAAAAUGUCAACUUGAAUGUUGUAUAGCUCUGUGGUACAGGAAAUACGCUACUUUAAAUAUAUCCUUACAUAUUUAAGUCAACACAAAGUCUGUUAUAUCUGAUUCUGAAUUACGAGGUUUCUGUCUAAAUUCAGUGGUGGAGAACACUGAUGCUGUUGUUCAGCCGCUCAGUCGUGUCUGUCUCUUUGUGACCCCAUGGACUGCAGCACACCAGGCUUUCCUGUCCUUCACCAUUUCCCGGAGUUUGCUCAGAUUCAUCUUCACGGAGUCAACGAUGGCAUUCAAAGAGAGCUAGCUUCAUAAAAAUGUUUUAGGACGAGAUGGAAAUGUUUUGGUUCUGUGUUUCAAGAAAGAAAAGUAAUGAGUGUCUGGGAUCAUUAAACUCUUUAAUAAAAAGUUCCUCCACUGGAAACAGUAUUAUUGUCAUUUUAACUAGUGAAAACAUCUUUAAAGCCAAUAAAACGCUACAUAGGUUUGGAAAAAAUGA
Long non-coding RNA from Bos taurus (domestic cattle), 1721 nucleotides. The record is from Ensembl. NCBI's taxonomy places the organism in Eukaryota, Metazoa, Chordata, Mammalia, Artiodactyla, Bovidae.